Molecule: ribosomal RNA, 253 nt
Filed under: uncultured bacterium
Lineage: Bacteria
Description: partial 16S ribosomal RNA
Rfam family: Bacterial small subunit ribosomal RNA
Source: RNAcentral
UACAGAGGGUGCGAGCGUUAAUCGGAGUGACUGGGCGUAAAGGGCGCGUAGGCGGUUAGAUUAGUCUGAUGUGAAAUCCCCGGGCUUAACCCGGGAUGUGCAUUGGAAACGGUCUAACUAGAGUAUGAGAGAGGGAAGUGGAAUUUCCGGUGUAGCGGUGAAAUGCGUAGAGAUCGGAAAGAACACUCGUGGCGAAGGCGACUUCCUGGCUCAAAACUGACGCUGAGGCGCGAAAGCGUGGGGAGCAAACAGG